GGAAAAGAAACUAACAAGGAUUCCCCUAGUAACUGCGAGUGAAGCGGGAAGAGCUCAAAUUUAAAAUCUGGCGGCUUUUGGUCGUCCGAGUUGUAACCUGGAGAGGCAUUUUCUGCGUUGGACCGUGUACAAGUCUCCUGGAAUGGAGCGUCAUAGAGGGUGAGAAUCCCGUCCAUGACACGGACCGCCAAUGCUCUGUGAUAUGCCUUCGAAGAGUCGCGUUGUUUGGGAAUGCAGCGCAAAAUGGGUGGUAAAUUCCAUCUAAAGCUAAAUAUUGGCGAGAGACCGAUAGCGAACAAGUACCGUGAGGGAAAGAUGAAAAGCACUUUGAAAAGAGAGUUAAACAGUACGUGAAAUUGUUGAAAGGGAAACGCUUGAAGUCAGUCGCGUUCUUUGGAACUCAGCCUUACUUCGGUUUGGUGUACUUUCCAUGUGAACGGGUCAACGUCAAUUUUGGCCGGUGGACAAAGACAAGGGGAAUGUAGCGUUGCUUCGGUGACGUGUUAUAGCCCCUUGUUGUAUAUGCCGGCUGGGAUUGAGGACUGCAGCACGCCCUUGUGGCCGAGGGGGUCGCCCCUACGUACCGUGCUUAGGAUGUUGGCAUAAUGGCUUUAAGCGACCCGUCUUGAAACACGGACCAAGGAGUCUAACAUGCUUGCGAGUGUUCGGGUGGAAAACCCUUGUGCGUAAUGAAAGUGAAAGUUAGGAACCUUCUCGCAAGAGAGGGUGCACUGACGCCCGGCCCUGAGGUUUUCUGACGGUGCUGCGGUAGAGCAAGUAUGUUGGGACCCGAAAGAUGGUGAACUAUGCCUGAAUAGGGCGAAGCCAGAGGAAACUCUGGUGGAGGCUCGUAGCGAUUCUGACGUGCAAAUCGAUCGUCAAAUUUGGGUAUAGGGGCGAAAGACUAAUCGAACC
Molecule: ribosomal RNA, 915 nt
Filed under: Fulvifomes costaricensis
Lineage: Eukaryota; Fungi; Basidiomycota; Agaricomycetes; Hymenochaetales; Hymenochaetaceae
Description: Fulvifomes sp. XHJ-2018d partial large subunit ribosomal RNA
Rfam family: Eukaryotic large subunit ribosomal RNA
Source: RNAcentral